GGUACUUCCCCUCAAGUAGCCAGGGCAUAGGGAUGCCUUACCUACUUUCCUAAAGGAGAGGCAUGUGGCACUUGUUUUAUGUAGGGCAUGUGGCUGCGGGUGACAUUCACUCUUCAGUCAAGUGCCCAAGAAGUUGCAAAAGGACAGGAGACAAAACAAGAGAAGAGUGGGAAUUCCUAGUGAUUGUGGAGUAUGAGGCUAAUAAAUGGCUCUUAAAAUAGUUCUUGACCCAAUUUCUGGGUACAGUGGCUUAGUCAUGACAACCCGUAGCUAACAAGGAGGAAGUUAGGAGGAUGAGUACCAGCCUCUCUCUCCUCCCUGCCUUGCGUCUCUGCUGGUCCCUUCUGAUGACUGCAUCAAACCAGAGACCAGAAAGCAUCCGGGCCCAUGGAUGAGUCCCCAUGGGUCAGCCCCCUGAGGACCAGCAGGGUAAAGGAAGGCAGAGAUGAAUCUGCUGGACCAAAGGAGUUCAUAUGGUGUAAUUAUGAAAUGCUCCAGAAUUUGGAAGUCACAAAUCAGCCAACGGACCUUCAAGUAUUCUGAGCAUUACAGUGCAAGGAACACUAAGUGAGCAGACCCGGUUAGAAAAAUAAGACCCAGUCACUUGGCAAGACAAUUAUGAUUUCAAAACAGAGUAUAUGUUCAAAUACAUAGAAGACACAAUAAAGGCCAAAGGAGUUCAUAGAAAGGAGAAACCUCUUUUGCAGUGGAGUGACAAGGGAAGAGUUCCUAGAUCAGAAUUUUUAUUUGCUUCUAGUCAAAGGCCAAGACUCACAGUACAAACAAUAAGUGCAAUGUGAUCUUUAAAAUGAACUAUGGAGACAAAACUACCCACAUGGAAUAAAGGGAAACUAGACUUCUGAACAUAGACAUCAGUAGAUAUUUAGGCAGAGCUGCAUAAAGAAGGCAUCUAAUCAAUCUGUUGCUGUCAUUUGACCGAUGCACCUCUAAAACGCCUUCCCUAUGCAAGGGAGUGAAGAGCUUUGAUUUCCUUGAGGAGCAGCAUAACAGAAUCAAGAGCAAGACUUUGGUGAUCAAGGGCCUAGAUUUGAGAUAUUCUGCUAUUUCCAUAGAUGUGUGAACUGG
Molecule: long non-coding RNA, 1086 nt
Filed under: Marmota monax (woodchuck)
Lineage: Eukaryota; Metazoa; Chordata; Mammalia; Rodentia; Sciuridae
Source: RNAcentral